UACGGAGGGUGCAAGCGUUAUCCGGAAUCAUUGGGUUUAAAGGGUCCGUAGGCGGGUCAAUAAGUCAGUGGUGAAAGUCUGCAGCUUAACUGUAGAAUUGCCAUUGAUACUGUUGACCUUGAGUAAUUAUGAAGUGGUUAGAAUAUGUAGUGUAGCGGUGAAAUGCAUAGAUAUUACAUAGAAUACCGAUUGCGAAGGCAGAUCACUAAUAAUUUACUGACGCUGAGGGACGAAAGCGUAGGUAGCGAACAGG
This 253-nucleotide ribosomal RNA is filed under the name uncultured bacterium. RNAcentral's name for it is "partial 16S ribosomal RNA". It matches the Rfam family "Bacterial small subunit ribosomal RNA", at positions 524 to 776 of the family's 1533-position model. The record is from RNAcentral.